UACGUAUGGGGCAAGCGUUAUCCGGAUUUACUGGGUGUAAAGGGAGCGUAGGCGGCCUGGCAAGCCUGAUGUGAAAUACCGGGGCCCAGCCCCGGGGCUGCAUUGGGAACUGCCAGGCUGGAGUGCCGGAGAGGCAGGCGGAAUUCCUAGUGUAGCGGUGAAAUGCGUAGAUAUUAGGAGGAACACCAGUGGCGAAGGCGGCCUGCUGGACGGUGACUGACGCUGAGGCUCGAAAGCGUGGGGAGCAAACAGG
RNAcentral lists this ribosomal RNA (253 nucleotides) under uncultured bacterium. Its description in RNAcentral is "partial 16S ribosomal RNA". It matches the Rfam family "Bacterial small subunit ribosomal RNA", at positions 524 to 776 of the family's 1533-position model. The record is from RNAcentral.